AACAGGAUUAGAUACCCUGGUAGUCCACGCCGUAAACGAUGUCGACUUGGAGGCUGUUCCCCUGAGGAGUGGCUUCCGGAGCUAACGCGUUAAGUCGACCGCCUGGGGAGUACGGCCGCAAGGUUAAAACUCAAAUGAAUUGACGGGGGCCCGCACAAGCGGUGGAGCAUGUGGUUUAAUUCGAUGCAACGCGAAGAACCUUACCUACUCUUGACAUCCACGGAAUUUGGCAGAGAUGCCUUAGUGCCUUCGGGAACCGUGAGACAGGUGCUGCAUGGCUGUCGUCAGCUCGUGUUGUGAAAUGUUGGGUUAAGUCCCGCAACGAGCGCAACCCUUAUCCUUUGUUGCCAGCGAUUCGGUCGGGAACUCAAAGGAGACUGCCGGUGAUAAACCGGAGGAAGGUGGGGAUGACGUCAAGUCAUCAUGGCCCUUACGAGUAGGGCUACACACGUGCUACAAUGGCGCAUACAAAGAGAAGCGACCUCGCGAGAGCAAGCGGACCUCAUAAAGUGCGUCGUAGUCCGGAUCGGAGUCUGCAACUCGACUCCGUGAAGUCGGAAUCGCUAGUAAUCGUGGAUCAGAAUGCCACGGUGAAUACGUUCCCGGGCCUUGUACACACCGCCCGUCACACCAUGGGAGUGGGUUGCAAAAGAAGUAGGUAGCUUAACCUUCGGGAGGGCGCUUACCACUUUGUGAUUCAUGACUGGGGUGAAGUCGUAACAAGGUAACC
RNAcentral lists this ribosomal RNA (730 nucleotides) under uncultured bacterium. RNAcentral describes it as "bacterial SSU rRNA". It matches the Rfam family "Bacterial small subunit ribosomal RNA", at positions 771 to 1501 of the family's 1533-position model. The record is from RNAcentral.